UGGGGAAUAUUGGGCAAUGGGCGAAAGCCUGACCCAGCAACGCCGCGUGAAGGAAGAAGGCUUUCGGGUUGUAAACUUCUUUUACCAGGGACGAAGGACGUGACGGUACCUGGAGAAAAAGCCACGGCUAACUACGUGCCAGCAGCCGCGGUAAUACGUAGGUGGCAAGCGUUGUCCGGAUUUACUGGGUGUAAAGGGCGUGUAGGCGGGAAGACAGGUCAGAAGUGAAAUGCCGGGGCUCAACCCCGGAGCUGCUUUUGAAACCGUUUUUCUUGAGUAUCGGAGAGGCAGGCGGAAUUCCUAGUGUAGCGGUGAAAUGCGUAGAUAUUAGGAAGAACACCAGUGGCGAAGGCGGCCUGCUGGACGACAACUGACGCUGAGGCGCGAAAGCGUGGGGAGCAAACAGG
Molecule: ribosomal RNA, 407 nt
Filed under: uncultured bacterium
Lineage: Bacteria
Description: bacterial SSU rRNA
Rfam family: Bacterial small subunit ribosomal RNA
Source: RNAcentral